Long non-coding RNA from Olea europaea var. sylvestris, 297 nucleotides. RefSeq lists it as uncharacterized. The record is from RefSeq and is a predicted model, not a curated record. NCBI's taxonomy places the organism in Eukaryota, Viridiplantae, Streptophyta, Magnoliopsida, Lamiales, Oleaceae. The transcript is spliced from 2 exons.
GAAUGUCUCCUCUACGAUCAUAUCUUUUCAUUGGAUUAUUUUGCAUCGCAUUGCUCCUUUCUUCACAUGAAAAAAGCUCAGUUGCAGGUAUCACUACUAUUAUAGGGCGUUGUAGUUCAACAGAUGAAGAAUGCAACGAAGAAUGCCAAAAGGCAGGAUAUAAGGGGGGGACGUGUGUUUCAAAAGGUGCAUUUGAUCCUGAAUAUUGUCAAUGUACCCGUAAUUGAUCAAAAUGACGUCUGUUCGAUGAUUAUAUGCUGAAUAAAAAUGCUUAAAACAUUUCGUAUUUAAUUGAUA